ACUCCUACGGGAGGCAGCAGUAGGGAAUCUUCCACAAUGGGCGAAAGCCUGAUGGAGCAACGCCGCGUGGGUGAAGAAGGUCUUCGGAUCGUAAAACCCUGUUGUUAGAGAAGAAAGUGCGUGAGAGUAACUGUUCACGUUUCGACGGUAUCUAACCAGAAAGCCACGGCUAACUACGUGCCAGCAGCCGCGGUAAUACGUAGGUGGCAAGCGUUAUCCGGAUUUAUUGGGCGUAAAGGGAACGCAGGCGGUCUUUUAAGUCUGAUGUGAAAGCCUUCGGCUUAACCGGAGUAGUGCAUUGGAAACUGGGAGACUUGAGUGCAGAAGAGGAGAGUGGAACUCCAUGUGUAGCGGUGAAAUGCGUAGAUAUAUGGAAGAACACCAGUGGCGAAAGCGGCUCUCUGGUCUGUAACUGACGCUGAGGUUCGAAAGCGUGGGUAGCAAAC
RNAcentral lists this ribosomal RNA (446 nucleotides) under uncultured bacterium. RNAcentral's name for it is "bacterial SSU rRNA". It matches the Rfam family "Bacterial small subunit ribosomal RNA", at positions 335 to 773 of the family's 1533-position model. The record is from RNAcentral.